UUUAAUUUGAAAUAGGUUGCCAGUUCUUCUUUAAGAAAAAGUUGAAAUAGUCUCCCAGGUGCAUCGGAAAAUUAAUUUCCGGGGAAUUUCUAUGCUGUACCAUCUAAUGCAUUCCUUCUCAGUUUUACUUUGCUCACUCCAGUUGGAUCUUUUUUGACUUCCUUUAUUUCAAUUUGAAAUAGUUUCUUGCAUUCGAAAAUUCGCUAGGUCUCUUGGCAUGUUUUAAAUUUCCAUAUGGUUGGUCUUUACCUUAUUAAUGUUUGUGUAGGAGGAUGAGAGCUUGAGAAGGUGGAAAGAAAAACUGCUUGGUUGCUUGGAAAGUGACUUAAAUGGUUUGUCUUUUGUCAAUCUGUGUUCCUGAACACAGCAUACUGUUUACUCUGUAAUUAACCAUUAAAUCUUGUUUACUGACUACUUGGAUCAAUUUUAUAGGACAAAUGGAACCUGAAGUUAAGUUCCACUCAGUUGGAAUCCUUUCGUCUGACUUUGGGGAGAUAAAUACUCCAUUACCAAUUAAAGAAGAACAAAGCAAAUCUGUUCUCUUUACGCUCAGGGAGGGCUCUGAGUAUCGGCUUAAGCUAACAUUUAGUGUUCUGCACAACAUUGUUUCUGGUUUGGCCUACACAAAUACAGUAUGGAAGGCUGGUCUUCAAGGUUUGAUUUCUAUACUCAGUUCCUCUUUCUUUUGCAUCCCCUUGUUUUAAAAUUGCUUUGUUGGUCAGCCAAGCACCUAAGGGAUUUAAUACUAGCAUUUCAUUUUGUAGUUGUCAAGCAGCAUGUUCACAUUUAUUUAUUCGAGCAUGGGUCUUCUUCGAAUUGUGCAUUUAUAACUGAAAAUACCAUGUUAUAGUGUGUGGACUGAAUCAUUUAGUUUCAAAGUUUUAGUCAUGUAGAUUGUGUGUGAUUUUAAUGAAGCAGUUAAAAUGAAUUAUGGUUGUGCACUAGGUGUUCCAGCCCAAUAUCUAAGUCCGUCAUGGAAUGAAGGCCAAAAUACUUGGUCUCCAAGUUUGUGGACUCUUUCAUUUCUUUGGGUAUAUUGCCUGAUUUGGUUUCGAAGAUAACAAGGGAAUUUGUCCGUGCUCCGCGGGGUCAUGAAAGCUGUAUUUAUGAUUGAUCUCACAAAUAGUCUUCUCUAUUAACAUUCGUGAAAUUAUAAAAAUUUUAACUCCAUAUACGAUGUACAUUAUGAUUUGAACUUUCAUGCAUGUCAUGUUUGGUUCAUUUUUUUGAGAAAGGUAACAUAUUUGUAUAUUUAUAUAAGACUACACAUAAACAGUGUAGCACCCCUUAGUUACAAAUUACAAAAGUAUAGAGCAUUUGAUCCUCUGUCAUCUCACACGGAUUCUAAUACGUCAAAGAUUGUUUCUUGAUAUUCUAAACCUAUUGCUUUACACCAAAUAAAGACCAGCCCUAAGCAUUUCAUCUUAAUCUUCUGGAGAUGGUCGGCUUUGUUUCCAAAACAUCUUUGGUUUCUCUCUUCCCAAACUGUCCACCAAAUGCACGCUGGAAUAAUCUUCCAUCUCAUUUUUUGAAUUGCAUUACUGCCUUCUUUGUUCCAGCAUGCUAGACUGCAAGCACAUCAGCUAUAUAUUACUCUGAAAGAGAGAGAAAUCAAGAAUGAUGGAGGGUGAGGGUGGUAGCAAUAAAGAGGAAGCAGGUCCAUCUCAUGGUGGCCCCACUUGGUAUGAGGAAGACAAGAGGAUGGAGGAAGAAGAAGAGGGUGAAACUGAGGAAGAUGACCAUCUUCAAGAUUCUGCUGCUGCUGCUGCUGCUGUUGAUAGCACUACAACUUUUGUUCCUGGUCCUCUUCUUUCUCUUAAAGAUCAAAUUGAAAAGGACCAGGUUCUUUAUCUCUUCCUCCCCCCCUCUUAUUUUCUUGUCCAACCACGGGAUACUUGACACCCUCCCCACUUGUUUGGUUUCCCCUUAAAACUCAAAAAGUUCUAACUUUGUGGGUUUCUUGAUGUUUCAUGGGUGUUUCAAGUUUCAAUUUCUUGGGUUAUUUUAGGGCUGUGCUUAUCUGUAUUUUGUUGUUUGAGGUGAUGUAGGUUGUUUCUUCUAGCUGUAGUUUUUGAAUUUGCAUUAAUUGUGAUAUUUUAAAGGAGAAAAAGGUUUAUUUGGUGCUUUUGGGGGUUGAGAAUUUGAGUUCUCCUCAGUGCAGUGAGUAUUAGAAAUAUUUCUAUGCUGUAACAUCUAGUAUUUCUUCUGCUUUGCUGUCCUGUUUGAUCUGGAGUUGGGUUUGUUCUUGUUUGCUCCACUGAAUUUUUUUUUUUUUCCUUUCUUUAAGUUGAAGGGGGCAGUAAUUGGUAAAACUGUUGCCAUGUAACCUCCUUCACGAGUUUAACCUGUGGAAAUAAACUUUUGCAGAAAUGCAGGGCUAAGGCUGCGCACAAUAGAUCCUUGUGGUCCAGCCUUUCCCCAAGCUCUGUGCAUAGCAAGAUCUUUAGUACACCAGGUUGCCUUUGUUCUUUAAUUUGAAAUAGGUUGCCAGUUCUUCUUUAAGAAAAAGUUGAAAUAGUCUCCCAGGUGCAUCGGAAAAUUAAUUUCCGGGGAAUUUCUAUGCUGUACCAUCUAAUGCAUUCCUUCUCAGUUUUACUUUGCUCACUCCAGUUGGAUCUUUUUUGACUUCCUUUAUUUCAAUUUGAAAUAGUUUCUUGCAUUCGAAAAUUCGCUAGGUCUCUUGGCAUGUUUUAAAUUUCCAUAUGGUUGGUCUUUACCUUAUUAAUGUUUGUGUAGGAGGAUGAGAGCUUGAGAAGGUGGAAAGAAAAACUGCUUGGUUGCUUGGAAAGUGACUUAAAUGGUUUGUCU
RNAcentral lists this long non-coding RNA (2808 nucleotides) under Capsicum annuum. RNAcentral describes it as "long non-coding RNA (CANN_LNC005418)". The record is from RNAcentral. Lineage: Eukaryota; Viridiplantae; Streptophyta; Magnoliopsida; Solanales; Solanaceae.